RNAcentral lists this long non-coding RNA (1343 nucleotides) under Homo sapiens (human). RNAcentral's name for it is "HSALNT0079207". The record is from RNAcentral. Lineage: Eukaryota; Metazoa; Chordata; Mammalia; Primates; Hominidae.
ACAAAGCAUAUGCAGAAGAUUUCAAAACUCGUUUAUUGUGAAAUAGAGAGUGUGAGAUACACUGGAUGCAGAGAAGGUCAAAACUGAAUUGGAAGAUUUUAUCCAGUUCUGGCUUCUACAAGUGAGGGGGAGUAAAGACAACCCGUGGAAGGUAAAGUGAUAAGACCCAAAGAUGCCAAGAGGCUGGAGAGGGAAGCCUGGGAGGAAAUACUAAUGGGAUUGUGAUUAGAAAGCCUGGAGAGGAGUUGGGCCAUAAAAAUACUAUAGCCAUGAAAAGAGUUGAGAUUCCAUGUGCAGCAGGAAGGCAGCCUUUAGGGCCCAGAGGGCCAGGCCAGACCAAGAGGUGCUGGGAUGGAGCCCUGCUUCUUCCUCUGGGGUCUUUAAUUCUGCUCCUCUGAGGUGAAGAAGUCCCUUCCCACACAUCCGUCUUUCCCUUCCCUUUCUUUUCUGUUUUCCCUUCCCCCUUUACUCCAGCAUGUCUUGGUGGAAAUAUUGUAAGAUUUGCAGCCAGAAGUUCUGAAUGUGAGGUUUCAGCAGGUCAUUGCUAGAUGUAUGAACUUAAGCCAGUUCUCUUGAGUUUCAUUUUUAGAAAAAAAUGAAUACAUGUUUUCUAAUUUGUACAAGGAGGAUAAUAAUACCUGGCUUAUAGGGUUUCUGAGAGGGUAAAAUAAAAUAACAGAUAAAACAACUUCUUUGUAACAUGUAGAGUAAAUAUGGAUGUGAGUUUUAAUGUAAUCAAUGGAUUUCCUCAGUCUUUACCUCUUUCCUCUCUCCCUUGGAAUUCCAAGUAGCAGAUGCUGGAAAAUAUAGAUAGCAAAGUCUCACCUUUCUUUCUAAGGUAGCUUCUUUUUUUUUGAGUCGGAGUCUCCCUCUUUCGCCCAGGCUGGAGUGCAGUGGCGCCAUCUCGGCUCACCGCAAGCUCCGCCUCCCGGGUUCACGCCAUUCUCCUGCCUCAGCCUCCAGAGUAGCUGGGACUACAGGCGCCCGCCACCAAGCCCGGCUAAUUUUUUGGAUUUUUAGUAGAGAUGGGGUUUCACCGUGUUAGCCAGGAUGAUCUCCAUCUCCCGACCUCGUGAUCUGCCUGCCUCGGCCUCCCAAAGUGCUGGGAUUACAGGCGUGAUCCACCGCGCCCGGCCUAAGGUAGCUUCUUAUCUCUAAGAAAAAGGCUUCAUGGUUGGGGACUGGAUCGUAGGCUCUGCUAGGCUUCAUGCCAGUCUUAAGAUUUCGUGACAAAUAAGCCUUCACAUAUUUCCACUGUGGGGUUGUUUAUUGCUUUUUUUCACAGUCCAGAGCAGCCAUUAUCCUCUUCUAACUCUAUACUGUGAGACUCUGGAAAUUUUUAA